UACGGAGGGUGCAAGCGUUGCUCGGAAUUAUUGGGCGUAAAGGGUAAGUAGGUGGUCUUAUUUGUCUAAGGUGAAAGCCUUGAGCUUAACUCAAGAAGUGCCCUAGAAACGGUAAGACUCGAGUCCUGGAGAGGGUCGUGGAAUUCCCGGUGUAGCGGUGAAAUGCGUAGAGAUCGGGAGGAACACCAGAGGCGAAAGCGGCGACCUGGACAGGUACUGACACUCAACUACGAAAGCGUGGGGAGCAAACAGG
RNAcentral lists this ribosomal RNA (253 nucleotides) under uncultured bacterium. RNAcentral's name for it is "partial 16S ribosomal RNA". It matches the Rfam family "Bacterial small subunit ribosomal RNA", at positions 524 to 776 of the family's 1533-position model. The record is from RNAcentral.